UGAUACUUAUAUGGAGGUUGCUCUUUCUGAAUAGGAUAAACAAAGAUACCGACCAAGAAAGGGUAGAAUUGUCGCAAGUUAGAUCUUAGUAUAUAUUAAGAGUAAAAUAUAUUUUUUUAAUAUUUUAUUCUAUCUUGUUUAUUGUAAAAAAUAGAAAAAUACAGUUAUUUUGUCGACUAAACAAGCGCUCCUAAAAGCUUAUGCAAAAAACAAGAUGCCAAACCAAGCCUUAGAUUGCUUUAAGAAAUUGGAGGAGGUUUUUUGGUGCAAGGAUGGAAUAAGAUCUUACAAUGCUUUUAUCAAAGUCAAUCAGUUAGGAAAAGCAUUUUUUUUUUUUCGAUUAUUUUGAAACAGUGGGUAUCUUGCCUAAUUUGCGAACAUAUAAUAUUUUGAUCGAGAUUUCUGUUAAGAAGAGACAAUUUGUCAAGGCAUGGAUUGGAUGUGGGGUAAAGAUUUAAAGCCUGAUGUGUAUAGCUAUAGUACUAUGAUGUGUGACGUGGUGUAAAAUGCGGGUUUGUGAAGUGCACUUGAGGUGUUUGAUGAAAUGUUCGAAAGGGGCUUAGUUCCUGAUGUGAUGUGUUGUAUGAUUCAUUUGCUUUUCAAAAGAGGAGAAUAUCUCAAGGGGAAAGAGAUUUGGGAAAGGUUGGUUAAAGGGUCCUGUGUUUAUUCAAAUGUGGUUACGUAUAUUGUUAUGAUUUAUUGGUUUGUGUAAAAUGAGGAGGAUUGAUGAGAGCUUGGAAAUGUGGGAGAGGAUGAAAAAGGAAUGGAUUCGUUUCAGUAUAGCUGUUUGAAUAAGGCGCUGACGAUAUUGAAAGAGGCAGAAGAUGGAAGAGAUAAGCUGGAUGCUCUUGCACAUUCCUCGAUGGUUGAUGGGUUAAGCAAACAAGGAAGAGUAGAUGAUGCAUUGGGCGUAGUGCAUCAGAUGGAUAAUCAUGGCUGGGAAUGGAAUCCAAAGGUUGUUCUCCUUCUCUUGUCGUCCAUAACACUCUUAUAAAUGGUCUGUGCAAGGCAGAAAGAUUUUGCCAUGCAUAUUCUUUUGUAAAGGAAAUGCUAAAAAAAAGACUGGAAGCCAGACUCGAUCACUUAUAGCUUAUUGAUGGUGGCCUUCAACUUGUGGCGCCAAGCUCUUGACAAGGGUUUGGAGCCUUAUGUAACAUUUUGAUGCAUGGCCUUGCUCUGCUCGGAAAAUUGGAGAUGCUUUGCUGCUUUAUUCAAA
Long non-coding RNA from Populus euphratica (Euphrates poplar), 1216 nucleotides. RefSeq lists it as uncharacterized. Lineage: Eukaryota; Viridiplantae; Streptophyta; Magnoliopsida; Malpighiales; Salicaceae. The transcript has 2 exons. The record is from RefSeq and is a predicted model, not a curated record.